This 510-nucleotide ribosomal RNA is filed under the name uncultured bacterium. RNAcentral's name for it is "partial 16S ribosomal RNA". It matches the Rfam family "Bacterial small subunit ribosomal RNA", at positions 28 to 507 of the family's 1533-position model. The record is from RNAcentral.
GACGAACGCUGGCGGCGUGCUUAACACAUGCAAGUCGAACGAAGAGCGAUGGAAGCUUGCUUCUAUCAAUCUUAGUGGCGAACGGGUGAGUAACGCGUAAUCAACCUGCCCUUCAGAGUGGGACAACAGUUGGAAACGUCUGCUAAUACCGCAUACGCUCUAAUCUCGGCAUCGAGGAUAGAUGAAAGGUGGCCUCUACAUGUAAGCUAUCACUGAAGGAUGGGAUUGCGUCUGAUUAGCUAGUUGGAGGGGUAACGGCCCACCAAGGCGAUGAUCAGUAGCCGGUCUGAGAAGAUGAACGGCCACAAUGGGAAUGAGACACGGCCCAAACUCCUACGGGAGGCAGCAGUGGGGAAUCUUCCGCAAUGGACGAAAGUCUGACGGAGCAACGCCGCGUGAGUGAUGACGGCCUUCGGGUUGUAAAGCUCUGUUAAUCGGGACGAAAGGCCUUCUUGCGAAUAGUGAGAAGGAUUGACGGUACCGGAAGAGAAAGCCACGGCUAACUACGUG